GACGUAGGAGGCGAGCGUUAUCCGGAUUUAUUGGGCGUAAAGCGCGUGCAGGCGGUUCUGUAAGUUGGGUAUGAAAUCUCCUGGCUUAACUGGGAGAGGCUACACAAAACUGCAGAGCUUGAGAAUGGGAGAGGGAGGUGGAAUUCCGGGUGUAGUGGUGAAAUGCGUAGAUAUCCGGAGGAACACCAGUGGCGAAAGCGGCCUCCUAGACCAUUUCUGACGCUCAGACGCGAAAGCUAGGGUAGCAAACGGG
RNAcentral lists this ribosomal RNA (253 nucleotides) under uncultured prokaryote. RNAcentral's name for it is "partial 16S ribosomal RNA". It matches the Rfam family "Bacterial small subunit ribosomal RNA", at positions 524 to 776 of the family's 1533-position model. The record is from RNAcentral.